UACGGAGGGUGCAAGCGUUGUUCGGAUUUACUGGGCGUAAAGCGUGUCUAGGUGGAUCGGCAAGUCUGAUGUGAAAUCCCCCGGCUUAACCGGGGAGGGUCAUUGGAUACUAUCGAUCUUGAGUGUCGGGGAGGUGAGUGGAAUUCCCAGUGUAGAGGUGAAAUUCGUAGAGAUUGGGAGGAACACCGGAGGCGAAAGCGGCUCACUAACCGACUACUGACACUGACACACGAAAGCGUGGGUAGCAAACAGG
RNAcentral lists this ribosomal RNA (253 nucleotides) under uncultured bacterium. Its description in RNAcentral is "partial 16S ribosomal RNA". It matches the Rfam family "Bacterial small subunit ribosomal RNA", at positions 524 to 776 of the family's 1533-position model. The record is from RNAcentral.